UAUUAUUGAAAUUGAAGGAUAUAUCAUAGGAUAUAUUCACUACAUUUCUCUCUGUACGAUAGCACUUCGAAGCUCACAUCACAAUUGAAUUUUUUCCCAUAAUCGGAAAGUUAGGUUAUUAUUGAAGAGAUAUGAAAGAAAGUUCUUGGACGUGAAUCUGUAUCAAAAUCGGAUGUAAUAACUGAUAGUUUAUUUUGUCACUAAUAAUACUUAUUUUUCAGGCACAUAUAAAUUUAUCAUAUCAAGAAAUGUAUAGAAUUCAUAAAUGUCAAAUAUCAUCUCUCGGGAAGUCUCAUUUUAAAUAAAAAAAGCUUCUUCAGGGAUUAAAUUACAUGCAAACUCAUAGAAUGAGAAACUUCCUUAUUCUUGGUGUAUGAACAUAAGAAUUUCUAGAUAACAAACGGUUCUUGGGGGCACAUAUAAAUUUAUCAUAUCAAGAAAUGUAUAGAAUUCAUAAAUGUCAAAUAUCAUCUCUCGGGAAGUCUCAUUUUAAAUAAAAAAAGCUUCUUCAGGGAUUAAAUUACAUGCAAACUCAUAGAAUGAGAAACUUCCUUAUUCUUGGUGUAUGAACAUAAGAAUUUCUAGAUAACAAACGGUUCUUGGGGGCAUAUAUAAAUUUAUCAGAUCAAGAAAUGUAUAAUAUCAUCUCUCGGACAGUGUUAUUUGGUGAAAAAAAAUGUUCUUCAGAGUAAGUUUCUUAAGCAGUUCGUUCAGGAGAGUUUCUAUGUGAAGCAAAUGAUCUAUUUCGAUUCUUUUCAACUGAACACAACAGAUUUCUGACAACUCUCAAGCAAUUGGGUAGUGUACGGAGAUGAUUUUCUUAGGCUAGAUCUAUGGAAAAAUAUGUUUUGAGAUAAGUUAUUCAGUUGGAAUGAUAUAAUGAUUAUUGAAACACAAUCUAUGAGUGAGUUUUAGCGUUAAAAUUCUAUAUUUAUAGACAUUUGUCAAGUUCUACCAUUUAGGGUAAGAUUUUUGCUAUUAUCGUUGAGAGAGGGACCCUGUAGGUUUUUGUUCAAAAUAAACAGAAUUAAACGUUA
Long non-coding RNA from Coccinella septempunctata (seven-spotted ladybird), 1037 nucleotides. RefSeq lists it as uncharacterized. The transcript is spliced from 5 exons. NCBI's taxonomy places the organism in Eukaryota, Metazoa, Arthropoda, Insecta, Coleoptera, Coccinellidae. The record is from RefSeq and is a predicted model, not a curated record.